RNAcentral lists this ribosomal RNA (632 nucleotides) under uncultured Pseudomonadota bacterium. Its description in RNAcentral is "bacterial SSU rRNA". It matches the Rfam family "Bacterial small subunit ribosomal RNA", at positions 9 to 637 of the family's 1533-position model. The record is from RNAcentral. Lineage: Bacteria; Pseudomonadati; Pseudomonadota.
GAGUUUGAUCCUGGCUCAGAUUGAACGCUGGCGGCAUGCUUUACACAUGCAAGUCGAACGGGCUGCGGGGCAACCUGCAGUCAGUGGCGAACGGGUGAGUAAUGCAUCGGAACGUGUCCCGUAGUGGGGGAUAACCCGGCGAAAGCCGGACUAAUACCGCAUAUGCUCUGAGGAGGAAAGUGGGGGACCCGAAAGGGCCUCACGCUAUGGGAGCGGCCGAUGUCCGAUUAGCUUGUUGGUGGGGUAAUGGCCUACCAAGGCGACGAUCGGUAGCUGGUCUGAGAGGAUGAUCAGCCACACUGGGACUGAGACACGGCCCAGACUCCUACGGGAGGCAGCAGUGGGGAAUUUUGGACAAUGGGGGCAACCCUGAUCCAGCCAUGCCGCGUGCGGGAAGAAGGCCUUCGGGUUGUAAACCGCUUUUAGUCGGAAAGAAAAGGCACGUCCUAAUACGGCGUGUUCUUGACGGUACCGGCGGAAUAAGCACCGGCUAACUACGUGCCAGCAGCCGCGGUAAUACGUAGGGUGCGAGCGUUAAUCGGAAUUACUGGGCGUAAAGCGUGCGCAGGCGGUUCGUCGUGUCCGAUGUGAAAGCCCCGGGCUUAACCUGGGAAUGGCAUUGGAAAACUGGC